Long non-coding RNA from Pongo pygmaeus (Bornean orangutan), 2550 nucleotides. RefSeq lists it as uncharacterized. The record is from RefSeq and is a predicted model, not a curated record. The transcript is spliced from 3 exons. Lineage: Eukaryota; Metazoa; Chordata; Mammalia; Primates; Hominidae.
CACUAGGUAGGUGGCCUUUAUUGCGAGGCUGAGUAUGAUGGGCUCCAUCCAGCACGAACACAAAGCCCUGUGAGAGGAGGCAGAGUAAGAUGAAAUCGAAUUGUAGGAUAUGAAAGGCAUUUUGAAGGAGUAGGCAUCAGGCUGGGUUUUAAAGGAAAUGUAGGUUUUGUGAAAUACUAGGGUGCAAAAGCCAUCACGGUUUUUGCCAUUAAAACCGCGAUGACUUUUGCAUCAACCUAAUAGAACCAGGCGAGGCGGCUGGGGAGAGAAGGCCAUUCCAGGCAGAGGGAACCAAAGGAGCAAGAGCCUAGGGGCAAAAAAGUGUUGGGUGAGUUAUGGGAAUAACAGGUUUUGUCAUGGGAACCAAUUGGGUUACAGUGCAAGGCAGCCAUGGUUAAGCAGGGCCAGGUGUAUGAGUAGCCAGCACCGUGGGUGCUGUCAGAAUUCUGAAAAGGCCCUGGAUGGCACCGGGUAGGGCCGCUGCUAGUCAGUAUAGGGCCUUGGUGAGAAUUAGAAAAAUGGCACCCCUGGGCUGUAUUUUGGCCCCUAUCCACCAGCCCCAAACCCUCCUGGGCCCUUGAGCAGUGAACAACCUUUAUAACCAUACGUCUAGAGCCACGAAGGCUUAGGAGGGAGGUGAAAAUUGAACUGAUGAUUCCUCUGUUCUAACACAGUCGUUGGGGGGAAGCUGAGAGUUCUAGAUUCAAAUAGACCAGAGUUUGAAUGUAGGUUUCAGCCAUAAUGUUCUAACUGGAUGAGCCUUAGUCUCCCCACCUGCAACGUAGGGCUAAUAAUAAUGCUAGUUCAUGGGGAUUUGGGGUGAAUUCAGUGAGUCAUUAAGCUCUAAGUGGCACAGAGUCUACUCCAGUUAAUGUUAAUUUUGGUAACUGUUAAGUGCCAGCUGUCAGCAUCCAUCACUUCCAGAAACAGGUCCACCAAACACUAAAUUCUUCUGUGUCACCACCCAAGCAUAGUCUGCAUGGGGUCCAGAGAUGGAAAGGUCGAGGGAAACGGGGAAGGGUCUGGGUUCUCUCAGUUCCACCAAUCUGCAAACUACUUUACAGGAACAGACUCUUCCCUUUGCAUUCACACCAGGGCAGGGAUUCAAAUGUCUUCAGAGAUUUCUGAGACCACCAGUGAUGGGAGACCUAAGGAGGAGGGCAGGGGGAGCAGCACUGCUCUAGAGCUCUGACCCAGGAAGCCCCACCACACCCUGACCUUCCUUGGCUCCAUGACCUCAUCCUGCAGGAAUGCGUUCUGCCAUGGAGGAGAGCAGCCGUAAGCAGAGCUCAUCAACUGCUCGCUCUCCAGGGGGCCAUAACCACAUUGUCACUGUUUCUACACUGUCUGGAAGAAGAAUGGGCAUUGUUACCUCAAUGUGGACCACCAGGGGCUUGCAAGAAGAGGCUGAAGAUGACAGGCAGAGACAGCUCUACCACCAUCUCCCGCCACUUACCAGGCUGGGCCACCUAGAUGUUUUCUGCUUCUCUGGGGUUGAUUUUUGUCGUUUGCUUAACAGACACUAUUCAGACCACUACCUUCCAUACACCACCCUGGAGCCUCCCUGUGACGGGACUUCCUGACCGGCCUGUCUGAGCAUGAAAGGGCUGAGCCCUCCGUAGGCGGGCGUGCCGACGGGAUGCAUGUGGUGGAGGACAUCUGCUGCAUUUGGCUGUGUGACAUCUCCCCCUCGCCUUCUGAACAGGCUGGAGUGCAAUGGCACGAUCUCCGCUCACUGCAACCUCCACCUCCUGGGUUCAAGCGACUCUCCUGCCUCAGCCUCCCGAGUAGCUGGGAUUACAGGUCUCUGCAGAGGCCAUGAAAAAUGUGCCACUCAGCUUUUCUGCUAAUUGUUGAAGGCCCAGCUGCCGCCGCUCUGGAUCUACACCCCAUUUGCAAUGAAGCCACACAUCUCGUGAGCGACUCCCAGCCCGUGACUGGGCACAGCAGGGGCCCUAAUGCAGGAUAGCUCUGAGGAGUGUGGGACUCUUGACAGUGGAGGACAUUGGUCCGAGAACUCUUCAUCGACCUGAUCAAACCUCUCUUGGAACUGCAAAGCAGUCUAAGACUCUUCUCCCAGUCUAUUGUCUCCCUAUUAACUAUCUAUAUUGUAGCUCAUUGGAAAAGAGUCAUUAAUUUUGAUUAUCAAAUUCACUUCUUUUUCUUUUUGACUUGCACUUUGGGUUUUUGAGAUUUUGUUUAGCAAUGCUGCUUCCAACCCUUAGUCACACGCAGUCCCCCUCUCCUCACAGGUUUCAGAUUCAUAUCAUAGCUGAAGGCUCUCUCUGCUGUCCAGCUCCUCCUCUGUGUGGGACAUUUAUCUGAGUUUUAAAAUGUCCUUCCCAAAAGUUGACUUUAGUAUUAUUUUAUUAUUUAUUUUUGAGACAGUGUCUCACUCCAGUCCAGACUAGAGUACAGUGGCCUGAUCAUAGCUCACUGCAACCUGGAACACCUAGGUUCAAGACAUCCUCCUGCCUCAGCCUCCCUAGUAGCUGGGACUACAGGCACACACCACCACACUGGGAUAAUUUUUAAAAUUUUUUGUAGAGG